RNAcentral lists this long non-coding RNA (622 nucleotides) under Camarhynchus parvulus. RNAcentral's name for it is "lncRNA (ENSCPVG00000017904.1)". Lineage: Eukaryota; Metazoa; Chordata; Aves; Passeriformes; Thraupidae. The record is from RNAcentral.
GACGGGGAUGCUCUGAGCCGAGAGACCACAUCCCAGUCCGAGGAUGCAGCCGAGGUGAGGGCGGCGAGGCGCCCUCCCAACCUCCGGCCGGGCUGGGCGGUGCCGGGGGCCGGCUGCAGGCGGAGGAGGAGGAGGAAAAGGCCAGGAUAUUCCUGAAUGAACGGCUCGCUCCUCACCCCACACCUCCGCCCGGCUCCCGCCUCCCUCCCGCCACUCGCCGGUGUCUCUUCGAGGCGCAGCCAGUUUCUAUAGCGACGGCGCUGAGCCGCGGCUCUUCCGAGUAGUAACAAAGCCGGCCGCCCGCUGCCGCGCCGGGGCUGCGGGGGGAAGCGGCUGCCGCUGCCGAGGACGCCCGACAGUUUUUGCCCAUGUGGAGAAGAAAAGGCAUUUCUUGUGUUCUGCGCAAGUGAACCUUUCCAAGGAGUUCUUUUUCAUGGAAAAUGGACACCUGGCUCAGAGUAAAGGACAUGCAGUGCACAGUCCCUAGCAGAAGCUGAAAAUGGAUGAUGUCUACUGAUGCUUUUCAAUGAUGUCAUCUCCUCUUUUUCUGUUUGAGAUGGGUGAUAGGAAAAUGUUCUAAGACUGAGUGACCUCUUCAUCCCUUGACUUCUCUUUCCACAAG